This 401-nucleotide ribosomal RNA is filed under the name uncultured bacterium. RNAcentral describes it as "bacterial SSU rRNA". It matches the Rfam family "Bacterial small subunit ribosomal RNA", at positions 355 to 774 of the family's 1533-position model. The record is from RNAcentral.
UGGGGAAUAUUGCACAAUGGGGGAAACCCUGAUGCAGCGACGCCGCGUGAGGGAAGACGGUUUUCGGAUUGUAAACCUCUGUCUCUGGUGAAGAUAAUGACGGUAACCAGAGAGGAAGCCACGGCUAACUACGUGCCAGCAGCCGCGGUAAUACGUAGGGAGCAAGCGUUGUCCGGAAUUACUGGGUGUAAAGGGUGCGUAGGCGGAAGAUCAAGUUCAAGGUGAAAGCGUGGGGCUCAACCCCAUACAGCCUUGGAAACUGGUCAUCUAGAGUGCAGAAGAGGGUAGUGGAAUUCCAUGUGUAGCGGUAAAAUGCGUAGAUAUAUGGAGGAACACCAGUGGCGAAGGCGGCUACCUGGUCUGUAACUGACGCUGAAGCACGAAAGCGUGGGGAGCAAAUA